This 785-nucleotide ribosomal RNA is filed under the name uncultured Neocallimastigales. RNAcentral's name for it is "partial large subunit ribosomal RNA". It matches the Rfam family "Eukaryotic large subunit ribosomal RNA", at positions 24 to 649 of the family's 3401-position model. The record is from RNAcentral. Lineage: Eukaryota; Fungi; Neocallimastigomycota; Neocallimastigomycetes; Neocallimastigales.
UAUCUCUGUAGAGUCUGCAUAUCAAUAAGCGGAGGAAAAGAAACUAACUAGGAUUCCCUUAGUAACGGCGAGUGAAGCGGGAAGAGCUCAAAUUUGAAAUCUUCAAGGUUCUACCUUGACGAAUUGUAGUUUAAAGAAGUGUUUUCUGUUGGAGUUUUGGUAAAAGUUCUUUGGAAUAGGACAUCGUAGAGGGUGAGAAUCCCGUAUUUGACCAUUUCUUCCAGCUGUGUGAUACACUUUCAAAGAGUCGGACUGUUUGGGAAUGCAGUCCAAAAUGGGUGGUAAAUUUCAUCUAAAGCUAAAUAUUGGCGAGAGACCGAUAGCGAACAAGUACCGUGAGGGAAAGAUGAAAAGAACUUUGAAAAGAGAGUUAAACAGUACGUGAAAUUGUCAAAAGGGAAGCGUUUGACACCAGUGUUGUUUUCUCGAAAAUCAAUUAAAAAUGGCCGGAUUUUGUGUUGUAUUGACUUUAUCAGCUUUCUGCACUCUUUUUCUUGUCUUUUUUAAUGCACUUUUCGUUUAACAAGUCAACAUCAAUUUCUUUUGUUGUAAAAGAGGUCAUUGGAAGGGUGGCUUUCACUUUCGGAUGAAAGUGUUUAUAGCCUUUGAUCUCUGCAAUCCGGAGAGACUGAGGUCUGCAGCGUAGACUCUUCGGGGUUAGAUACAUUUGUGCUAAGUUAUAGCUUUUUCAUAGACAACAUUGUUGACUAUGAUUUAAGUCAUUGUAGCUUACUCGCUUAUGCUAUUUUACCUACGCUUAGGAUGUUGAGUAGCGACAUACGCAC